UAUGGCGGAUGGCGAGGAGCCGGAGAAGAAAAGAAGGAGAAUAGAGGAGCUGCUGGCUGAGAAGUUAGUGCUGCCGGGAGGCCGGGGCCCUCUCCGGGGACCCCCGCCUCCCCCCACCCCAGGCCUAGGGGACCAGCCGCAGCGGGCCCGGGGGGCUGGGAGGGGGACACCCGGAGCGCAGGCCGCGCGGCCUCAUCCCCUGAUCCCCGUCCCGCAGCCCCGGGGGCCUGGCGGGCCGCUCCCGGUAUCUGCCCGGUGCGGGCGUCGGGGCCAGGCUGCACUGCCCCAGCUCCUGCAGGGGCCCUCCGGGGUGCCUGACGUAAAGGUCUUGAGGAAGGACCCUUGUGCACUCCUCUUCCUCCAUCCCAAAUUGUCAGAGCAGUGACCCUGUGAAAAGGCAGUCUACCUUAAACACACAGGAAAAGGACACA
Molecule: small RNA, 431 nt
Filed under: Pongo abelii (Sumatran orangutan)
Lineage: Eukaryota; Metazoa; Chordata; Mammalia; Primates; Hominidae
Description: retained intron
Source: RNAcentral